UACGUAGGGGGCAAGCGUUGUCCGGAUUUACUGGGCGUAAAGAGCGUGUAGGCGGCCAAGCAGGUCCGUUGUGAAAACUGGAGGCUUAACCUCCAGACGUCGACGGAAACCGCGUGGCUAGAGUCCGGAAGAGGAGAGUGGAAUUCCAGGUGUAGCGGUGAAAUGCGUAGAUAUCUGGAGGAACACCGGUGGCGAAGGCGGCAUCCUGGACCGGUAUUGACGCUGAUGCGCGAAAGCCAGGGGAGCAAACGGG
Molecule: ribosomal RNA, 253 nt
Filed under: uncultured bacterium
Lineage: Bacteria
Description: partial 16S ribosomal RNA
Rfam family: Bacterial small subunit ribosomal RNA
Source: RNAcentral